Long non-coding RNA from Cervus elaphus (red deer), 457 nucleotides. RefSeq lists it as uncharacterized. The record is from RefSeq and is a predicted model, not a curated record. The transcript is spliced from 4 exons. Lineage: Eukaryota; Metazoa; Chordata; Mammalia; Artiodactyla; Cervidae.
CUCUCAACAGCUAUGUGAGUAUGUGUGUGUAUGAGAGAGAAAUUAUUUUCUUCCUCUUUAUUAAAGCUGGUAGAGACUGUAUCCCCGCAUAUUUAUGCAAGUCACAGUUUGUACAGUUUGAGCAUAAGAAAACUCAAUGGCUGGUCUGUGAAGAUGAGGUAGAUGGGGAGACAAGGAAGUCAUCACCAGCAGGAGGACCAAUAUCCAAAAUGGUAUCUUCUGGACCCGGGGAUCAAAUCCGCAACUCUUGCAUCUCCUGCAUUGGCGGCGGAUUCUUUUACCACUGUGCCACCUGGAAAACUGUAUAGAAGGAUUAAAACCAUCUAGUUUGAUUCUUGACAUGGGAGCACAGAUUAUUGAUUUGAAGUUUUUACCUUUUCUAAUUAAAUAUUUAGUGCUAUAUAUUCCCCUCUUAUUAAUGCUUUCAUUGGAUCAUCAAAAAAGCAAGGAAGUUCUA